RNAcentral lists this transfer RNA (73 nucleotides) under Candidatus Rifleibacteriota bacterium. RNAcentral's name for it is "tRNA-Val". It matches the Rfam family "tRNA". Rfam says of the family: Transfer RNA (tRNA) molecules are approximately 80 nucleotides in length. Lineage: Bacteria; Candidatus Rifleibacteriota. RNAcentral also lists the same sequence under 1 other name. The record is from RNAcentral.
GGGCGGUUAGCUCAGUUGGCAGAGCGCCUGCCUUACACGCAGGUGGCCAGCGGUUCGAACCCGUUACCGCCCA